GCCUGGCUGGCUCAGUUGGUGGAGCGUGCGACUCUUGAUCUCGGGGUUGUGAGUUCGAGCCCCGUGCUGGGUA
This 73-nucleotide transfer RNA is filed under the name Felis catus (domestic cat). It matches the Rfam family "tRNA". Rfam says of the family: Transfer RNA (tRNA) molecules are approximately 80 nucleotides in length. Their secondary structure includes four short double-helical elements and three loops (D, anti-codon, and T loops). Lineage: Eukaryota; Metazoa; Chordata; Mammalia; Carnivora; Felidae. The record is from Rfam by way of RNAcentral. RNAcentral also lists the same sequence under 1 other name.